RNAcentral lists this ribosomal RNA (497 nucleotides) under uncultured bacterium. Its description in RNAcentral is "partial 16S ribosomal RNA". It matches the Rfam family "Bacterial small subunit ribosomal RNA", at positions 28 to 507 of the family's 1533-position model. The record is from RNAcentral.
GAUGAACGCUGGCGGCGUGCUUAACACAUGCAAGUCGAACGGUGAAGCGCCUUCCUUUUUGGUGGGUGUGGAUGGGUGGCCAACGGGUGAGUAACACGUGAGUAACCUGCCCCCACCGUCUGGAUAACCGCAAGAAAGUGUGGCUAAUACGGGAUAUUCUGAAUCUGUUGCUUGAUGGGUCUGGGAAGGAUAUUGUUUCGGUGGGGGAUGGGCUCGCGCUGUAUUAGCUUGUUGGUGGGGUGAUGGCUUACCAAGGCGGCGGCGGCUAGCCGGCCUGAGAGGGGGAUCGGCCACACUACAGGUGAGGCGACGCCCACCAUCCUACGGCGGGAGGCAGCAGGGGAGAAUACGGCACAGGGGGAGGAAGGCUGAUGCAGCGACGCGUGGUGAGUGAUGGAGGUCUGAGGGUUGUGAUCUGCUUUCGCCAGUGAAGCAAGCUGGCCUCGUUUGUGGAUGGGUUGACGGUAGCUGGAUAGAAAGCCCCGGCUAACUACGUG